RNAcentral lists this long non-coding RNA (1029 nucleotides) under Homo sapiens (human). RNAcentral's name for it is "non-protein coding LMNB1-DT:9". Lineage: Eukaryota; Metazoa; Chordata; Mammalia; Primates; Hominidae. The record is from RNAcentral.
GCUCCCCGCACCUGGGGCCUGAGGGGCCGCCUCUCCGCGCCGGCUCCCCGGAUUCGAGUGCGAAAGCGGGAGCUCCUUCUCGGCAGUCCCAGGCGCGCACUUACCACGUCCCAGCGGGUAUCCAAAAUCUAGAAAUGGGCAUCACGGCCCCCCAGCGCUACAGCUCGAGCCCCCUCCGCGACCCCUGCUCCGCUAUGAACUCUAGAUUCUUUCUCCUUUCCGGAGACCGAGACCCUGUUCCUUCAGAAGGACGCGUGCAUCCUGGCCUCUGCUCCCUCCCCACGGCAGAACCCGGUGAGCUGGUCGCCGCGGUUGCGCCCCCGCCCCUCCUUGGCGCUAACGCGGCCGCCAGCUAGCACUCACUUGAGGAGCAGCUGGUCGUGUUCCGCCUUGCACUUGCCCAGCUCGAUCUGCAGCUUGGCGCGCUCGCGGGCCGUGUCGUCGAGCGCGCGUCGCGCGUCGGCCAGCUCGGUCUCGUAGAGCGCCUUGAGGCCGGUGAGCUCACGGCCGCGCACCUCCUCGCGCUCCGUCACCUGCAGCUGCAGCGCGCUGUUCUCCGUCUCCAGGCUGCGCACCUUGUCGAUGUACACCGCCAGCCGGUCAUUGAGCUCGCGCAGCUCCUCCUUCUCCUGGAGCCGCGACAGGCGCGUGGGGCUCAGCGGCGUGGUGGGGCCGCCAGCGCGGCUGCCCAUCCGCGGCGGCACGGGGGUCGCAGUCGCCAUGGCGGGCGGCGGAGACAGCGGGGCGGCGAGGCCGCGAGCGGGACCGUGAUAAGGAGGGGACGGCAGGGGGCGAAGCGGGGACCGAAGGCACAAACCGGCGACCUGCGCUCACGUCCAGACGCUGGCGUUUAGAGGAACGGAGAAGCACCUGGGAUGGCGGGAGCUCGAUUACAGCACAAAGGGCAAAGGCGCGCGGGGGGGAACUACGAAUCAAUCGAUCGAUCGCGAAAUACCCUUUGUAAGAAAACACACACACCCACUCACACACGCACGCGGGAAAAUGCAAGACGAGGGUGACUGGAGGCCC